GGUUAAGCGACUAAGCGUACACGGUGGAUGCCCUGGCAGUCAGAGGCGAUGAAGGGCGUGCUAAUCUGCGAUAAGCGCCGGUAAGGUGAUAUGAACCGUUAUAACCGGCGAUACCCGAAUGGGGAAACCCAGUGUGACUCGUCACACUAUCAUUAACUGAAUCCAUAGGUUAAUGAGGCGAACCGGGGGAACUGAAACAUCUAAGUACCCCGAGGAAAAGAAAUCAACCGAGAUUCCCCCAGUAGCGGCGAGCGAACGGGGAGGAGCCCAGAGCCUGAAUCAGCAUGUGUGUUAGUGGAAGCGUCUGGAAAGACGCGCGAUACAGGGUGACAGCCCCGUACACAAAAGCGUAUGUGCUGUGAGCUCGAUGAGUAGGGCGGGACACGUGGUAUCCUGUCUGAAUAUGGGGGGACCAUCCUCCAAGGCUAAAUACUCCUGACUGACCGAUAGUGAACCAGUACCGUGAGGGAAAGGCGAAAAGAACCCCGGCGAGGGGAGUGAAAAAGAACCUGAAACCGUGUACGUACAAGCAGUGGGAGCACAGGUUUACCUGUGUGACUGCGUACCUUUUGUAUAAUGGGUCAGCGACUUAUAUUCUGUAGCAAGGUUAACCGAAUAGGGGAGCCGGAGGGAAACCGAGUCUUAAUUGGGCGUUAAGUUGCAGGGUAUAGACCCGAAACCCGGUGAUCUAGCCAUGGGCAGGUUGAAGGUUGGGUAACACUAACUGGAGGACCGAACCGACUAAUGUUGAAAAAUUAGCGGAUGACCUGUGGCUGGGGGUGAAAGGCCAAUCAAACCGGGAGAUAGCUGGUUCUCCCCGAAAGCUAUUUAGGUAGCGCCUCGUGAAUUCAUCUCCGGGGGUAGAGCACUGUUUCGGCUAGGGGGUCAUCCCGACUUACCAACCCGAUGCAAACUGCGAAUACCGGAGAAUGUUAUCACGGGAGACACACGGCGGGUGCUAACGUCCGUCGUGAAGAGGGAAACAACCCAGACCGCCAGCUAAGGUCCCAAAGUCAUGGUUAAGUGGGAAACGAUGUGGGAAGGCCCAGACAGCCAGGAUGUUGGCUUAGAAGCAGCCAUCAUUUAAAGAAAGCGUAAUAGCUCACUGGUCGAGUCGGCCUGCGCGGAAGAUGUAACGGGGCUAAACCAUGCACCGAAGCUGCGGCAGCGACACUCAGGUGUUGUUGGGUAGGGGAGCGUUCUGUAAGCCUGCGAAGGUGGCCUGUGAGGGUUGCUGGAGGUAUCAGAAGUGCGAAUGCUGACAUAAGUAACGAUAAAGCGGGUGAAAAGCCCGCUCGCCGGAAGACCAAGGGUUCCUGUCCAACGUUAAUCGGGGCAGGGUGAG
RNAcentral lists this ribosomal RNA (1345 nucleotides) under Salmonella enterica subsp. enterica serovar Agona str. 400095 13. RNAcentral's name for it is "bacterial LSU rRNA". It matches the Rfam family "Bacterial large subunit ribosomal RNA", at positions 1 to 1383 of the family's 2925-position model. The record is from RNAcentral. Lineage: Bacteria; Pseudomonadati; Pseudomonadota; Gammaproteobacteria; Enterobacterales; Enterobacteriaceae.